Molecule: long non-coding RNA, 459 nt
Organism: Platichthys flesus (European flounder)
Lineage: Eukaryota; Metazoa; Chordata; Actinopteri; Pleuronectiformes; Pleuronectidae
Exons: 3
Source: RefSeq, a predicted model, not a curated record
CUCCACCCCAGCUAGAAUAUAAAGAGAUGAUGAAAGAAGUGAUUAAGUGAAACCGACAUCCAGAGACAACAUCGUCCUCCCAGUGCAGGGAUUCAACUGGGAACCGCUACUUCGGUUUCUACUGGGCGAUCAGGAAGAAGACAUCCCUGAGGGCAUUUCACACUCAGCGAUGGGGCUGUGUGCAGUCCUCUGUGUCGUCCUGCUGCUGCUGAGUCCAGCUCUAAGUGAAUCUAAUGGAGACAGUUCCAUUCUCAUAAGAAGUAACGGAUCCUGAAAUCAAAUCAAUGCCUGAAGUGAUUAUGAAAAGUUUGUUACCAUGUUGUUCUUCAAAACAUCUGUUUGGUGAUUGACUGCCAGACAACCAAUCACAUGUCUUUGCUUGUUUCACAACCAGUGCGUCAUUUACUAAGUUACAUGACCAUUGGGGAAAAUACCAUUAAGAAAUCUGGAAUCAUAUAA